Molecule: ribosomal RNA, 253 nt
Filed under: uncultured bacterium
Lineage: Bacteria
Description: partial 16S ribosomal RNA
Rfam family: Bacterial small subunit ribosomal RNA
Source: RNAcentral
UACAGAGGUCUCAAGCGUUGUUCGGAUUCAUUGGGCGUAAAGGGUGCGUAGGCGGCGCUGUAAGUCGGGUGUGAAAUCUCGGGGCUUAACUCCGAAACUGCAUUCGAUACUGCCGUGCUUGAGGACUGGAGAGGAGACUGGAAUUUACGGUGUAGCGGUGAAAUGCGUAGAUAUCGUAAGGAAGACCAGUGGCGAAGGCGGGUCUCUGGACAGUUCCUGACGCUGAGGCACGAAGGUCAGGGGAGCAAACGGG